RNAcentral lists this ribosomal RNA (698 nucleotides) under Epanerchodus sp. MPE01959. RNAcentral describes it as "partial large subunit ribosomal RNA". The record is from RNAcentral. Lineage: Eukaryota; Metazoa; Arthropoda; Diplopoda; Polydesmida; Polydesmidae.
AAUAAAUUAGUUAUGACAUAUAUUUCAAGAAAUUUUAUAUCUAGUUUUUUUUGAAAUUAAAUUUAUUUAAUAUAUUAUUUUAAAGUUAAUAGGGGUUAGCUUAUUAAAAAAAUAUGUAAGAUAGAGUUGUUUUACUUUGGUGAAUUUGAAAUUGUUUAUUUUUAUGAUUUUAUAAUAGAAAGUAAUGGUAAUAGGAUUUUUAAUAUAUUAUUUUUUUAAAAAAAUAAAACGAUAAUAAGAAAAUUUUUUAAAUAAUGAAAUAAUUAGUAAAAAUUUAUGUUUAAUUUAAAGUAAAUAAUAAAAUUUAUAUUUAGUAUUAGAUUAUGAGAAAUGAAUUAGGCAAAAUUAUUUUUUUGACUGUUUAGCAAAAACAUUGUUUCAUGAAAUAAAAUAAAUAUGAAAUAAUGUCUGUCCACUGAGGUUUGAAGGACUGCAGUAUAUUAACUGUAUAAAAGUAGCGUAAUCAUUAGCUUUUUAAUUUGAAGUUGGUAUGAAGGUGAAACGGAUGAAUUCUUUAUUUUUUAUAAGUUUUGAAAUUAAUUGUUGAGUGAAAAAUCUUAGCUUAGAAAGAGGGACAAGAAGACCCUAAUAAGUUUUAUUUUUUUGUUUUUUAAAUUAUGGGUGUUUAAUUAGGUAAUAAUAGUAAAGGGAUUUGAUUGGGGCGAUUUGUUUAAUAACAGUAUAAAUUUAUAAUUUUU